CCUACGGGAGACAGCAGUGAGGAAUAUUGGUCAAUGGCCGGAAGGCUGAACCAGCCAUGCCGCGUGAAGGUCAGUGCCCUAUGGGCGUUAAACUUCUUUUGUGCGGGAGCAAUAAUGGUCACGUGUGGCCAGACGAGAGUACCGUACGAAUAAGCAUCGGCUAACUCCGUGCCAGCAGCCGCGGUAAUACGGGGGAUGCAAGCGUUAUCCGGAUUUAUUGGGUUUAAAGGGUGCGUAGGCUGUGAGGUAAGUCAGCGGUGAAAUGCCCCCGCUCAACGGGGUGAAGUGCCAUUGAUACUGCCUUGCUGGCAUGCGGAUGCCGUGGGAGGAAUGUGUGGUGUAGCGGUGACAUGCAUAGAUAUCACACAGAACACCGAUUGCGAAGGCAUCUCACGAAUCCGCGAUUGACGCUGAUGCACGAAAGCGUGGGUAUCAAACAGGAUUAGAUACCCCUGUAGUC
RNAcentral lists this ribosomal RNA (460 nucleotides) under uncultured bacterium. Its description in RNAcentral is "partial 16S ribosomal RNA". It matches the Rfam family "Bacterial small subunit ribosomal RNA", at positions 338 to 795 of the family's 1533-position model. The record is from RNAcentral.